UGCGGGAUCGUCUAAUGGUAGGACACAUUCCUCUGAAGAAUGAUAUCUUGGUUCGAAUCCAAGUCCCGCAGCCG
Molecule: transfer RNA, 74 nt
Filed under: Candidatus Nealsonbacteria bacterium RIFCSPLOWO2_01_FULL_43_36
Lineage: Bacteria; Candidatus Nealsoniibacteriota
Description: tRNA-Gln
Rfam family: tRNA
About the family: Transfer RNA (tRNA) molecules are approximately 80 nucleotides in length. Their secondary structure includes four short double-helical elements and three loops (D, anti-codon, and T loops). Further hydrogen bonds mediate the characteristic L-shaped molecular structure. tRNAs have two regions of fundamental functional importance: the anti-codon, which is responsible for specific mRNA codon recognition, and the 3' end, to which the tRNAs corresponding amino acid is attached (by aminoacyl-tRNA synthetases). tRNAs cope with the degeneracy of the genetic code in two manners: having more than one tRNA (with a specific anti-codon) for a particular amino acid; and 'wobble' base-pairing, i.e. permitting non-standard base-pairing at the 3rd anti-codon position.
Source: RNAcentral